Molecule: non-coding RNA, 2568 nt
Organism: Salvia hispanica
Lineage: Eukaryota; Viridiplantae; Streptophyta; Magnoliopsida; Lamiales; Lamiaceae
Source: RefSeq, a predicted model, not a curated record
UCUGGCAACCACUAAAAUUAAUAUACGAAAUUGGAAAAGAAUUAGUAGGACAAGAACCCUUUCCAAUUUCCAUCUCUCUAUCUCCGCUGCUGACUGUGAUUGCUCUGUUUCUCUUUCACUUGGAUUUCUUUUAUCAGUUCCAAGAAUCGCUCUUCUCGAUCGAUCAGGAUCUCGAGUAAGAUGGGAAGUAAUGGUGGAGAGCAAAUAAAGAUUUCUGGACUGGAUGCUGCUGAAUGUUCUCAAACCACUGUUCAGAUCAAGAUCAAGACAUUGGAUUCUCAAACUUACAAUCUGCGGGUGGAUAAAUGUGUGCCUGUUCCAGAACUGAAGGAACAGAUUGCUUCUGUAACUGGUGUCCUGUCAGAGCAACAACGCCUUAUAUGUCGUGGAAAAGUUUUGAAGGAUGAUCAACUCCUCUCAGCUUACCAUGUGGAAGAUGGGCAUACUCUGCAUCUUGUCGUGAGACAACCCAUUGCUACCUCAGUCGAGCAGCCAGCAACUGAUCCAACAUCAAAUACAGGGCAAAAUACAAGUGGUCAGGUGAGCCCUGGUAUGGUGGUUGGAACCUUUAAUAUAUCAGAGCAGGGAGAUGGUGCUUUUCCUGAUCUAAAUCGGAUCGUUUCUGCUGUACUUAAUUCUUUUGGUGUUACAAGAUUUGGAAGCGGAGCUGAAGGGAUUGAUUUAAAUCAAUCUCCAUCGGAACGUCAACCAACUGCGCCUGGGCUCAGUGGUACCAGAAAUUCUUUCAGACCGCAAACUGACCAAGCAGCUUCAGUUUCUGUUCCUGUGGAACCUCUGCAGCCACUGGUUAUACCCGAUUCAUUGACUACUUUGUUACAGUACUUGAGCCAUUUGAGACAAGAAUUUUCUGCAUACGGCCAAAGUUCAAAUGCUCAAAAUGGGAUUGAUGGGCAAGAGUCAGAAUCUCCUGUGCAUUCUAGUGAGCCAAGAGGGCUUCUGAAUCCCGAGUCAUUGUCAGAGGUGAUGUCAUCUGCCAGAAGACUUCUUCUUGAACAUGCCACUGAGUGCCUUUCGCAACUUUCAGGACAGCUUGAAUCUCAGUCAAGUGUGACGGAUUCAUUGGAGCGGUCAAGAAUUCAAUCUAGUGUUAUAAGAUCAGGAGCUCUUUUUCAAAAUUUGGGUGCUUUGAUGCUAGAGCUUGGUAGGGCCAUGAUGACCCUACGAAUGGGUCAAUCACCGGCUGAUGCAUUGGUUAAUGCUGGACCAUCAGUCUUCAUAUCUUCAACUGGGCCCAAUCCUAUAAUGGUUCAGCCUCUGCCUUUCCAACCAGGGGCGAGUUUUGGUUCAGUUCCUGUGGGUACUGCUCAGCAUGGCUCUGGUGUAGCUGGAAGCUCUUCUGCUACAGGUUUCCUGCCCAGAAAUAUUGACAUCAGAAUACGAGCAGGUUCAUUAUUUCCUCGAAGAGAGCCUACUGCUUCUCCGUCUCAAGGGCAAACUGGUACACCAUCACCCAAUAGCACAAGUCCCAGUCAGCAACAAGAUGCUGCGACAGUUGAACCAAACUCGCGCAAUAGGGAACCACAACUGAGGGCAAUUCCCCUUAGAACUGUAGUCGCUGCAGUACCAGCCCCUGUUGGUCGUAGUGCAGAUUCAUCUCGUGGUUCAGUAGGGAUCCUAUAUCCAGUUAUGGCUAGAGUUCAACAUCAAUCUUCAGGAAGCUCAAAUAAUGCAAGAACUUCUCAAGCAUCGGAUCAAAAUGGUCAUGCUGCUGAACAGCCUGAUUCUUCAACACAACAGCAACAUGUUCCAAUCCUUGGAGGAAAUGGGAGCAGCAAUUUACCUUCUGAAGCAUUUAAUGAUCAUGGAUUUUCAGGACUCGAGCAACUGCUAAGUAGUAUAUUUCCAGGGGGUCAGAUCCUAAGUGAAAGUACCGAGCUCCCUCAUUCAGCAUCUGAAGCAGCUCACAAUUCUGAGGCUGUGAGUGAAGAAGGGGUAAUUUUAUCUAAUAUUCUACGCCAGAUAAUGCCAAUGCUCUCUGAUAACAUGACCGCAUCCACUGAAGGAGCAAAUGCAGAUGAAGCGCAGGGAGAUGGAAACAGUGAUCAGGGAUCUUCUCGUCGCAGGAGAGGCUCUGAGUCACAAGAAAAUCAAAAACGUCAGAGGAGGGAGUAGUGGAAGAAGUCAAGAAGAGACCUUUAUUUGAGGGCUGAGAUGGACUGGCAGUGGCAGCUAAUGAUAAGAGAGUCAGACAGAGACUGGCUGUAAGCAAGGAUUGGAUACCCAACGGUAGUCUAUUGUUUCGCGAGCCCGGGAAGGGCAAUGAUACACUACCCAGGCCUACUGUGGUUACAGGUUAGUAAGGCAAUGGAAGCCACGUUGAGGAGGUUGUAUAUCCGUCAUAGGAGUGGCGUGGGUAGUGUAUCAACUACUGUCCCUGGCUCCAGAAUAUAGCCCAUGCCUGUAUGAAAGAGAGGCUUUUCAGGUUUGUGUAUGCCGAAGAAGAUGAUGAGUGCUCAAAAAAUAGUACAGUAAAAUAAAUAAGAUAUGCCAUGUUCCAAUGAUGGAGGGGGCAACUUGAAUCCAUGAUAUGUAUAUUCAAUUUUACAA